GACACUUUGGCCGAGCGGUUAAGGCGUUAGACUCAAGCUUACAGCUUUCUCUUGUCACAAGAGAGCAUUCUAAUAUCGCAAGAUGCAAGGGUUCGAAUCCCUUAGGUGUCA
Molecule: transfer RNA, 111 nt
Organism: Sugiyamaella lignohabitans
Lineage: Eukaryota; Fungi; Ascomycota; Dipodascomycetes; Dipodascales; Trichomonascaceae
Rfam family: tRNA
About the family: Transfer RNA (tRNA) molecules are approximately 80 nucleotides in length.
Source: Rfam